UUUCCGGUUGAUCCUGCCGGAGGCUACUGCUAUCAGGAUCCGACUAAAGCAUGCAAGGCAUCUUUCGGGAGCCGAACUGCUCAGUAACACGCGGUUAACCUGCCCUUAGGUAACGGAUAACUUCGGGAAACUGAGGGUAAACCGUUAUAGGGAAUUGUUGCUGGAAGGCGCUUUUCUCGAAAUCUAUAUGAGCCUAAGGAUGGGACUGCGGGAGAUUGGCUUGUUGUUGGGGUAAAUGCCCAACAAGGCUAUAAUCUCUACGGGUCAUGAGAGUGAUAGCCCGGAGACGUGCUCUGAGACAUGAGCACGGGCCCUACGGGGCGCAGCAGUUGCGAAACCUUCACAAUGCGUGAAAGCGUGAUGAGGGGAUCCUGAGUGAAUUCGUUUUUCGCGGAUUCUUUUGACAAGUCUUAAUAGCUUGUUGAAUAAGUGGUGGGUAAUACGGUUGCCAGCCGCCGCGGUAAUAACCGAGCCACGAGUGGUAGUCACGGUUAUUGGGCCUAAAGCGUCCGUAGCCGGUUUAUUAAG
This 528-nucleotide ribosomal RNA is filed under the name uncultured archaeon. RNAcentral describes it as "bacterial SSU rRNA". It matches the Rfam family "Archaeal small subunit ribosomal RNA", at positions 1 to 537 of the family's 1478-position model. The record is from RNAcentral.